GCAGCCCCGGGCUGCGGGCUCCUCGGACGCCCGCCUCCGCGGGGGCCCCCACCCUCUCCCUCCUGGGGGCACGCUCGGCCUCCCCACCCUUGCUGGCCUGCUCCCGGGCUCGCCCUCCUCCCCACGCCCCCUGCCUGGGCUUCAGCUCCUAUAGGAAGGGCAUUACCAUCCCAUCCCCACCCACCCGGGCUCUCAGCUCUCUCCCCUCCCCCUCUUUAACUUCCUCUUCUUCCCCGGUUGGGCCCUCGGCUUCUCUGCACUCUCCUCCCCAGUUCGCAGAUUUCCGCCCACCUUCCGCCUAGGCUAGCCGCACAGCAGCUAGCGGGGUGUUAUUUUCCCCCCCCUCUGGUAGGAGUUAGUGAAGGUGAGACUCAUGAGGGAAUACAAGGUGGUGGUGUUAGGGAGCGGAGGGGUUGGCAAGUCUGCCCUCACUGUGCAGUUUGUCACUGGGACUUUCAUUGAGAAAUAUGACCCCACCAUUGAAGAUUUCUACCUCAUAGAGAUCGAAGUGGACUCUUCCCCCUCCGUGCUGGAAAUUCUGGACACCGCAGGAACUGAGCAGUUCGCCUCCAUGAGAGAUCUCUACAUCAAAAACGGCCAAGGUUUCAUCCUGGUUUACAGUCUGGUUUAUCAGCAGUCUUUUCAGGAUAUCAAGCCAAUGAGAGAUCAGAUUGUCAGAGUGAAGAGAUACGAAAAAGUCCCACUAAUCCUAGUAGGAAAUAAAGUGGAUCUGGAACCAGAAAGAGAGGUUAUGUCUUCAGAAGGCAGAGCUCUGGCUCAAGAAUGGGGCUGCCCUUUUAUGGAGACAUCGGCAAAAAGUAAAUCAAUGGUGGAUGAACUUUUUGCUGAGAUCGUCAGGCAAAUGAACUAUUCAUCCCUGCCCGAGAAGCAAGAUCAGUGUUGUACAACUUGUGUUGUCCAGUAAAAAAGAUAACCUCAAUCAUGGCCAUACCGAGCAGAGGGACCUACCAUCAAGUGCUUUGAAGGACUCCUUUUACUGUGUAGCAGCAGUACAAUAGAAACCCAGAUAAAACUCAGAGGAAAUUUGCACAGAUGCUGCUUUGGAGAACUUUACAACCUGGGUUGCAGAACUGAGCCUUGGUAAACCUGUCUCUAUUACAGCAUGUUGCCAUACAUCUACUUAAGUGCAUAAGGUCUUUGGCCUUCAAGAUCCAUCGACCUUAAAUGGGAAUGCUUAGCACGUUUACCAUACGUUUAAAAUCUGUUCUUUAUCAAUCAGUCCUUUUAUAGCUUUCUAAGUUCUUAUUGAUGGCUAAUAUGCAAGGGUUAAUUUUUAAUAUUUUAAUUGAUUUCUUUAAUCAGUUUCUCAACUUGUAUUUAUUAAAUACUCAAACUCAGUAUUACCUACUCAAUGCCUUUUAAAAGAAAGUUAUAAUGGAGAAAAAAAUUGAGCCUUAAACAAAUGGUUACUUCUGUAUAUUACCUCGUACCAGUGCUUCAUCCUAUUUGUAAAAUCUUUCUCCUUUAAAUGGUUGGUUAAUACUUUGAGACUUUGUUUACGUGUGGCAGUGUUGUAAAAAGUAACUAAAGAUCACAUUUUACCUGUAUGGAUGGAAUAUCCCUUUUCUUCAAGGGCAGUUUGUGAUGUGUUUUUGUAAUUAACUAACAUGUUCUGAAAGUGACAAUUGAUAUUUGAAAUUGACUGUAGACCAUUUAGUUGAAGAGUUAAGCAUUCAAUUCCAUUAGGUUUUCACAUGUGUUAAUCUCAUUUACAGCAUCAAAUUGCGAAUUGCGGCAGUAACAUUUUCCUUUCUGUGAAGUUCUAAAUUUAGUUAUGACCUACUUAGCAAUGCCUUUGAAAAGGGAUAUUGUAUCCAUGGUAAAUUAAUUGUAUACCUAAACAGAGAUAGCUCAGCUUUGCCUGUCAGGCUUGUAAUUGACAUCUAGUAGACUUCUGCACAUGUAAAAUUGAAUUCAAAUAAAAUCAUAUAUACUUUCUAGUUCUUACUAUUUGUCUUUCUGAAUAAUAGUUUAAAGCAAUAUUUGUUAAAGUUUUCUUGCACUAUCACAAUUGCUUUUUAGUUAUUUUGCAAGAAGCAUGUUCGUAGUAGAGACAAAAUCUGUGUAACAGGAGGGAGGAUAGCACCAAGUCUCUGGGCUAUUUUUUAUUUUUGCAAAUGUGCUUUCUAAUAGCCAUUGCCUUCCAUGUUGUUUACCUAAUCAGCACAUUUUGUCUGAAUACUUGAACAUUUUAACAGUAACACAGGUAUAGAAACAGAAAGGAAACUUCUAGAAUGAGUAACGUUUUGGUUCAGUUUUAACAUCACGAGGAGCGCUUUUUCUAGCAAUGAUCUUUAAAUUAUGUAAGUUUGACAGUAUUUUUUGUCGUUUUAAUUUGACUUUAGUUGUGUGCUUUUAAUUUGCAGAAGUUAGUAACUGCAGCUCACCUACUGCACCAAAGUUCUCGAUUUUAGGAGCCCAGCUUUAGUCAUUUGAACAUGCUUCUAAAUAAAACAAAACAAAACAAACCAAAACUAUACUUUUGAUCUAUACGAAUAGCUCAAUAACUUUGUCAAGGAAAGCUCUAAUAUAUGCAGUGAUGGUUUAUGGAAGGGUGUGGCAAUUUAAAAUUUAUAUUGUGUGUGAUGUUCAAAUAAAGUGAUAUCUACAUUCAUGUGAUUUAUUGGUCAGCAUGGCCAUUAAUUAUUGAGUAGAAAUUGAUUAAACUUUGAUUUCCUUUUUUUAAAUCGUGUUGCAUUUGAUUCCUGAUAAAAUUCCCUCAAAGUGAACUCUGGUUCUUAACAUUUGGAUUUUAUAGUGAGAUUGUAAGGGUAGAGGCAAUUGAAACAUUGUUCCUUAUUUAUAAACUGCUUAAAAUGAAUAUUUAAGUUUGCACUUUAAUACCAAACUUAAAACCAAACACUCAUUUCAAAGUAGGUGACGUGAUAGUGGUUCAUCUUUACUAGCUGUGUAAAAUUCUAAAGGAAUCAAAUAAUUCAUGAUGAUUUAAAUUUUCUGCAGAUUAUUCAUUUUUUAGACAGUGUUUCUUUCCUACAGUAUUCUCUCCCUCUCCUCUCUGUCUCUCUGUCUCUCUCUCUCAAUUACAGUGUUCAUUGUCAUUGACCUCAGCAGCAAAUUUAACUUGAAUUCACUUAGGAUCACAGGAAUCAGGGGAAAGUGAUUUUUAAAGAUGGUUUCUCCAGCACAUUUUAAGAAAAGGGACCAAAAGUUAUUUUAGCUUCCUCAAUAGAUUGCAUGUUGCUUAUUAGGAUAAUAAAUUAAUAUUAAAUGCAAUAUAUGUCUUGUCUUUACUAUGGCAUCUGUUUAGGAGUUGUUCAAAUCACUGCAGUAGGGCUCUGCAAAUAAAAUCAUGUAAUCUAUUAUCAUCCAUCUAAUGUACUGUAACUUUAUCCGUGAGAGGUCAAAUCGCGAAUAACAAGUACAAACAUUGAACAAUUACCUAUAAAGAUUUGUAAAAGUAAAAUUUUUCCAAUAGAUUUCAUUCUUGUCAUUUUGUAAGACGACCCUGCAGUCCACCUGUUUGUAACUUUUUUAAUAAAAUAGACAUCUGUA
Tupaia belangeri chinensis (Chinese tree shrew) is the source of this 3534-nucleotide RNA transcript. It is a transcript of the gene named RAP2C, member of RAS oncogene family, with no coding region annotated. Lineage: Eukaryota; Metazoa; Chordata; Mammalia; Scandentia; Tupaiidae. The record is from RefSeq and is a predicted model, not a curated record. The transcript is spliced from 4 exons.